This is a non-coding RNA of Drosophila melanogaster (fruit fly), 581 nucleotides long. NCBI's taxonomy places the organism in Eukaryota, Metazoa, Arthropoda, Insecta, Diptera, Drosophilidae. The record is from Ensembl.
GAACUAACCUAAAUUAAACCCAACCCUAAGAAGUAACCCAAGACCGGUGGCAGUCAUUGUGAAACUAUGCUAAACGAUCCAACACUUGACCAAAGAAGAUCACAGCUGAAAAGACGAAGACAAUUUGGUAAACGAAUAUAAAUAUGAGCAUAUGAAAUAUGCCGAUAUGAAGGAAUGUCUGGCAAUCACGUUGGGAUCUGCGGUUUUCGUAUGCGGCUUCCGAAAUGAACCAGCCAGUAUCCCAACCAUGAUCCCUUUGUGGGUAACAGGGAUCUUCAGAUUCACGGAUUCAUGGCUCCACCUUAACUCAUUAAAGGCGAACGUGCCACAAUUAUGUGUGCGUUUGCAAAUUGCUCAAUUGCCCGGCUGACCACCACCGAACCACCAACUAAAGAACUGGAGAUCCCAACCAAACCACUGGACCACCGCAAACGCGAGCAGAAAUAUUUGCAUUUUGCCUGGCACCGCUUAUACAAUUUAUUUGCAAUUUUCAAUCAAGUCGUGGCCAGAACAAACAAUACAACGGAAAAAUGUUGGAAAAAACGAAACCAAAAUUGAUUACUUUGCAGCAUUGCGGUUAC